Molecule: long non-coding RNA, 498 nt
Organism: Mirounga angustirostris (Northern elephant seal)
Lineage: Eukaryota; Metazoa; Chordata; Mammalia; Carnivora; Phocidae
Exons: 4
Source: RefSeq, a predicted model, not a curated record
GUUCUGGUUGCUGGGAAGUCCAAGAUCAAGGCAUUGGCAAAUCUGAUGUCCGGAUUGUGCAAGAACUGGCUUCUGGCUCAGGUCCACCCUAGUCACUACAGAAAUGCUAACUAUGCAAGCUCUUAUGAACGUUUUCAGGAGGGUAACUUCACUGGCUCCUUUGUGCCAAGCUUGGCCAUCAGCACCUUCACUGUGUGAGUCCUAGGUCCUGCCCGGGGGCUUCCAUAGAUGUCACAGCAUCUAAGGCAUCUGCCUACUCAGCAUUCUGGUCAGCAGUCUGCUUUCAUAGACUGGAGAGUGUGUCCAUUUCCGUGCCAGGCCAGCAACAACAAAAGUUGUAAUCCUGCCCCGUGAGAGAGCACAGGCGGAGUUCACUAACCAAAAUGACAACAAACACUGGAACUGGGGACUUACUCUAUGGCAUCUGUUCAAACCUCUUAACACCAGAGAUGUUUUCCUGUCUGAUGUAUAAGCCAACCAAGCACAAAUUAAAAGCAG